Molecule: non-coding RNA, 61 nt
Filed under: Parageobacillus caldoxylosilyticus
Lineage: Bacteria; Bacillati; Bacillota; Bacilli; Caryophanales; Anoxybacillaceae
Also listed under: 1 other name
Description: Geobacillus caldoxylosilyticus Fluoride sequence
Rfam family: Fluoride riboswitch aptamer (crcB RNA motif)
Source: RNAcentral
AGUGUAAUAGGCGAUGGAGUUCUCCUAAACUUCCUUUCGGGCUGAUGGCUCCUACCAAUGA